GUGCUCACUUCACAACACAUACUAUAAAAUCUGAAAUGACACAGAGAAGGUUAGAAUGGCCCCUGUGCAAGGAUGACAUGAAAAUUCAUGAAGCAUUCCAUGGUUUU
Molecule: small nuclear RNA, 107 nt
Organism: Phyllostomus discolor (pale spear-nosed bat)
Lineage: Eukaryota; Metazoa; Chordata; Mammalia; Chiroptera; Phyllostomidae
Source: RefSeq, a predicted model, not a curated record